MicroRNA precursor from Prunus persica (peach), 88 nucleotides. It matches the Rfam family "mir-160 microRNA precursor family". Rfam says of the family: The hairpin precursors (represented here) are predicted based on base pairing and cross-species conservation -- their extents are not known. In this case the mature sequence is excised from the 5' arm of the hairpin. The record is from Rfam. NCBI's taxonomy places the organism in Eukaryota, Viridiplantae, Streptophyta, Magnoliopsida, Rosales, Rosaceae.
AUGUGCCUGGCUCCCUGGAUGCCAUCUAAGCAACUAGUCAAUCAGAAUGUUGACUUUUCUUAGUUGGCAUCAGGGGAGUCAUGCAUGU